RNAcentral lists this small nuclear RNA (116 nucleotides) under Octodon degus (degu). RNAcentral's name for it is "U4 spliceosomal RNA (ENSODEG00000024786.1)". The stretch from base 1 to 85 matches the Rfam family "U4 spliceosomal RNA". From Rfam's summary of the family: U4 small nuclear RNA (U4 snRNA) is a component of the major U2-dependent spliceosome. The structure of U4 snRNA from yeast and human has been reported. Lineage: Eukaryota; Metazoa; Chordata; Mammalia; Rodentia; Octodontidae. The record is from RNAcentral.
AGCUUUGUGCAGUGGCAGUAUCGCAAGCCAAUGAGGCUCAUCGGAGGCACGAUUAUUACUAAUUGAAAACUUUUCUCAGCCUCUCAAGUGCUGGGAUUACAGGAGCUGCCACCACA